GAUGAAGAACGUAGCGAAAUGCGAUAAGUAGUGUGAAUUGCAGAAUUCAGUGAAUCAUCGAAUCUUUGAACGCACAUUGCGCCCUUCGGUAUUCCGUUGGGCAUGCCUGUUCGAGCGUCAUUUAAACCUUCAAGCUAUGCUUGGUGUUGGGUGUUUGUUCCGCCUCUGCGCGUGGACUCGCCUCAAAUUCAUUGGCAGCCGGUAUGUUGGCUUCGUGCGCAGCACAUUGCAAGCGACUUCAACAAACCUCCUUCCAUAAGACUUUUUUUUACUUUGACCUCGGAUCAGGUAGGGAUACCCGCUGAACUUAAGCAUAUCAAUAAGCGGAGGA
This 331-nucleotide unclassified non-coding RNA is filed under the name soil metagenome. RNAcentral's name for it is "partial contains 5.8S ribosomal RNA, internal transcribed spacer 2, and large subunit ribosomal RNA". The stretch from base 1 to 120 matches the Rfam family "5.8S ribosomal RNA", at positions 35 to 154 of the family's 154-position model. The record is from RNAcentral.